UACGUAGGGUGCAAGCGUUGUCCGGAAUUAUUGGGCGUAAAGAGCUUGUAGGCGGUUUGUCGCGUCUGCUGUGAAAUUUCGGGGCUCAACCCCGAACUUGCAGUGGGUACGGGCAGACUAGAGUUCGGCAGGGGAGACUGGAAUUCCUGGUGUAGCGGUGAAAUGCGCAGAUAUCAGGAGGAACACCGGUGGCGAAGGCGGGUCUCUGGGCCGAUACUGACGCUGAGGAGCGAAAGCGUGGGGAGCGAACAGG
RNAcentral lists this ribosomal RNA (253 nucleotides) under uncultured bacterium. RNAcentral describes it as "partial 16S ribosomal RNA". It matches the Rfam family "Bacterial small subunit ribosomal RNA", at positions 524 to 776 of the family's 1533-position model. The record is from RNAcentral.